CCUACGGGUGGCAGCAGUGAGGAAUAUUGGUCACUGGACGCAAGUCUGAACCAGCCAUGCCGCGUGCAGGAAGACGGCUCUAUGAGUUUUCAACUGCUUUUGUACGAGGGCAAACGCAGAUACGCGUAUCUGUCUUAACGUAUCGUACGAAUAAGGAUCGGCUAACUUCGUUCCAGCAGCCGCGGUAAUACGGAGGAUUCAAGCGUUAUCCGGAUUUAUUGGGUUUAAAGGGUGCUUAGGCGGUCGGUUAAGUUAGAGGUGAAAUCCCGAGGCUCAAAUUCGGAAUUGCAUCUGAUACUGUUCGGCUAGAGAGUAGUAGCGGUAGGCGGAA
Molecule: ribosomal RNA, 331 nt
Filed under: uncultured bacterium
Lineage: Bacteria
Description: partial 16S ribosomal RNA
Rfam family: Bacterial small subunit ribosomal RNA
Source: RNAcentral